Non-coding RNA from Physcomitrium patens, 2131 nucleotides. The record is from RefSeq and is a predicted model, not a curated record. Lineage: Eukaryota; Viridiplantae; Streptophyta; Bryopsida; Funariales; Funariaceae.
GCCGCGACUCUUCGCAACUUCGCGUCCAUUCUGCCUCUCUCUCUUCUGCUGUAGAGCUCUUGGAGACCGCUCAUCCGUUCGUCUUGUCGAGGAGCUUUGCGUUCGCAUUUGUGGGUUUGGUGUGUUCAGGCCGUCAUGGGUGACGCUCCUCCACGCCACAAAAGCAGGUAUUCAAGCUCGCCUUCUCCAAGGGAGAGAGAAAAGCCUGAGCCCUCACGGUCACGCACUCCUCCACGGCGGUUAGUUCCCAAGCCCCGAGGAAGGUCUGGGCCGAUUAACGAUGGGCCAGAUCGCUCAAGAUCACGAACACCUCCACGUCGAAGCCGAAGAGAGCCAGAUAUAAAUAACCCAGGAAAUAACCUGUACGUUACUGGUUUAUCUACACGAGUGAACGAAAAGGAUCUCCAGGAGCAUUUCUCCCGGGAGGGAAAGGUGUUGGAAUGCCGUUUGGUGCUUGAUCCCCGCACGCGCGAGUCGCGUGGUUUCGGAUUCGUUACAAUGGAGCAUCUCGAAGAUGCGGAGCGAUGCAUAAAGUAUCUGAAUCGUUCCACCCUUGAAGGACGAAUGAUCACUGUGGAGAAGAAUCACGGCCCCACUCUGCUCCCGCAAUUACCCUUCCAUUUAGUCUCUUCUACAGCAGCGCUAAAGAUAGCAAGUACCAACCCACUGUUGGAUCCAUGUGAUCGAUUGGUUCUUUGCAGCUGAUUCAAAGUUCAGUUCUUGAGCUCCUGCCGAGUAAGGCCCUAGAGUACUACCUUCUCUUCUUCAGCUGCUGUUGGAGCUGAACUAGAGGUCAGCACUUAAUUGCCCAAUUGGUUGGCACAACUCGACCGGCAGUAUUCAAUUUUCGGUAGUCUAAACCAAUUCACUUGAAGGGAUGGCACAACGAAGAUACGGGAUCUAAUCAAAUCUCGAUAGUCUUAACCUAUUCACUGGAGUAUUCGACCCCUACCCGCCUUUCAACUAAGGGUGAGCACUAUGUGUCCAUCACGGCUGGGGAGAUGCUAUCAAAAGCCGGCAGGCAUGCUCACUGGACUGUUUUGCAACCAACUCCGUCGGCUUUAUCAAACAUUUUAAUUUCGUCCACCCGGGCCUCUCCCAACCUCUUCCAACGCUAAUGUCCAAUUAUGACCUGCACCACCUUUAAGUCUCCGACUUGUAAUGAAUGUGGGAGCAGUGUGAACAAGAGGUCAGCUUUGCAGAGCCGGAUAUUGGUUUCUAGCAGUUGUCCUUUUGGCAUGCAGGCCCCUUGUCUGUCUUUCGUGUUUCGUUUGGUGCUUUUGAAACGGCUGUAAGUUCCAUGAUUGAACCCCUAGUUAGAGCAUGGUUUGGCAGAUUCUUGUUUUUCGGGCUGAGUUGUUCAAGUUCUAGUUAUGACCUUUUCAGGUGAAAGUUCUUAUCCGCGCUGACUCCUCCCUCAACCUCGCUUGACGUUUCUUAUUGAUUAGUCGAUUUGUUUUUGACGAAAUUCGAGGUUGAGACCACGUAGAAAAAUCACACUUUUGCUGAGUAUCUGUCUUCUCAUGGAUGUGCAGGCUAAACGUAAACGAGCACGCACUCCUACUCCUGGAGAGUAUCUUGGUGUUAGAGCUAUGCAAGCAAAUCGGCGGGGAGGUGGAGGUAGAAAUGGUGGAGGCUACCCUCGUGAUAACAGGAACAUGCGGCACUCGCCCGAGUACGCACCAUAUCAAGGUGGUGGCCGUGAUAGAGGCCGAGAGAGAUCGCCUCGGCAUUCUCCAUAUCGUAGUCACGCCCGGGACCGUUCCGCAUCGCCUCAGUAUGGUUCAUACCGCCGCUGAUCGACAAUGUUGGCGCCGAUGUUGGCCAGUUUUUGAGACAAGUCGCUGUUCCUCGUCUAUGAGACAUUUAACGAUAGGAAGCUCAGUAACUAGCGUUUUAUUUUACCUUGCUCUAUAUUUUGUAUGUAUUUUGAGUAUGCGUGCACCGGUAAAUGAUCUUUUAAUCUGUUUCUAUUUGGUUGAAUUAGCAAGUGCUUGCAACUACAUCAAAACACUUCAUUUGUAGUCCCUUUACUCGUUCUGAACAGGAUUUAUCAUAGUAUGGUAUUCUUAAGCAUGGUUAUCACUUCAUGUUUGUAUUAAUAGCAAUAACAUUGUAAAAAUUCCCGUAA